CGUAGGUGGCAAGCGUUGUCCGGAUUUAUGGGUUUAAAGGGUGCGUAGGUGGUUUGAUAAGUCAGUGGUGAAAGCCGGUUGCUCAACAAUCGAGUUGCCAUUGAUACUGUCGGACUUGAGAGAAGUGGAGGUUCAUGGAAUGGAUGGUGUAGCGGUGAAAUGCAUAGAUAUCAUCCAGAACGUCGAUUGCGAAGGCAGUGGGCUGUACUUUUUCUGACACUGAGGCACGAAAGCGUGGGGAUCAAACAGGAUUAGAUACCCUGGUAGUCCACGCUGUAAACGAUGCGAACUAGCUUUCGGGUUUAGGAUUCGGGGGCUAAGGGAAACCGAUAAGUUCGCCACCUGGGGAGUACGCCGGCAACGGUG
Molecule: ribosomal RNA, 366 nt
Filed under: uncultured organism
Description: bacterial SSU rRNA
Rfam family: Bacterial small subunit ribosomal RNA
Source: RNAcentral